RNAcentral lists this unclassified non-coding RNA (374 nucleotides) under Hevea brasiliensis (rubber tree). Lineage: Eukaryota; Viridiplantae; Streptophyta; Magnoliopsida; Malpighiales; Euphorbiaceae. The record is from RNAcentral.
UAUUAGGGAAACAGGUUAAAGAGCCAAAGCACCAAAAGAAUCAACAAUUCAAUAACCCUCCACAAAUAUAACACUGAAACUUUAGGCAAAAUCAUUAAUUACCAGAUUUCACAAAACCAAUUAACAGAAACAAACCAUGGGGAACCAAAAUUUAGCAAACCAUAGCUAAAUUUUGUCCACAUUAAUACAGCAAUUUGGAAAAUGUAUCAACAGAGCAAAAAAUCAGAUCAUUCUAAAAAGCAACACGCAGUAAAGGAAACUCGAAAGUAGGGACUGGAUACUCACUUAAUAGCAACAAAAACACCUGGAGAAGAACCAUACUGGGACUGAAAUUGAGAGAUAACCCUUCAUUCAUGCCUCCAGCUUUAUGACAC